GGCCCUUCUCAUUUACCCAUGAAGGAGGGGUGGGCGGAGCCUGGCAGCUGUCGCUUCUCUCUACAGCAGGGGUGGGCUCUUUAAGGUCUUUAAGCUCUUUAAGGGGUGGGAGUCUCAUAACUUCACUGGAGCCAGAGCAUGCCGAGAGAGGCAAACUCUUGGCGGUUUGGGGUUAUUCUCCACCGGUUCCUGGAGAUCCGAGGGUAGCAAGUGCCAAUGGCUGUGCUGGGGUCACAGAGCUUACAGAGCUCCUAUCUUAUCCACACCCAGGGCAUGGCGCCUUCUUCCCUGGCAGACAAGUAGGGAAUGGUCUUUGCCACUUCUCACCGUGGCCACUAGAGAGCGACAGUGCUCCAUCUUCUAGAAAGAAACCGUCCAAUCCCCGCGCCUUCUGCCGAGGAGCCUGGCGAGCCACCUCCCUGAACUUCAGGACUUUCAGUUUCACUCCCUUAUGGUUUUGCACCUUUCUCUACUCUUCUACUCCCAAACACCAAGAUAAAAUGCCACCAUCGUCACCCUUUGGAAUGCCCUAUCUAGACACUUCUCCUCCCUCCAGCUGAGCAUACAGCUGAGGGAAGGAGAGGAUGCGGGGGAAAGGCGGCCACCCUGCUCAGUCCCUGGAAGGCCACUGGCACAGCCGGAGGAGCCAGGCCAGCCGCCAGCCCCUGCCCCUGCCAGGGUUUGCAU
Homo sapiens (human) is the source of this 687-nucleotide long non-coding RNA. RefSeq annotates it as NEURL1B antisense RNA 1. The transcript has 3 exons. The record is from RefSeq and is a predicted model, not a curated record. Lineage: Eukaryota; Metazoa; Chordata; Mammalia; Primates; Hominidae.